CGGCGAACCAAAUGACAAUAUUCACUUAUAGGUUACUGUUAUCCUGUGCGUUUUCAACUUUUAACGAACACUGAUGCGGAUCACAGGAUGUGUGGAUGCAACAUAAACUUCAAGGUGGUCAUACAUCUCCCAGACACAUGGAGACCUCCUGCAAUAGGCCACAUAAUGUCCAAGAGCAUCCUGGGUUAAGCCUCCUCUAAAAGCAAUGACUGCCCGUAAAGUAAAUCUCUUUCCCUGGAGCAUCAGAUUGGAGGGAAAUUCACUCAAAGGAAAUUCUGUGGAGUUGCUUCCCAGAGGGACACUGUGACAGACUUUGGAUCGGCCUGAGGCAGGGGGACUCGGGAAGGUCAAGGCCUUCUUCCACCGCGGUCUGAAGAUGAGCCAUGCCAGAAGCCUGCAGUACAGCAACAGAAAUACAAACAAAUGCAAUUUCCCUUCUGACUUGUUUGCUGAGACCACAAUUCUGUGAAGAGCACUGUUUUGUUAAUGAAACACAAGUGCGUUUUGUCAUUGACUUUUCAAUGAUAGUGGAGAUGUGGCAUUGUGCAUCAAUUUGGAGAGCACCAGACUUCAGUCGGACAGCUUUGAAUAUUUCGCUCAUCAGUUCUGCCCUCUGUAUGUAGGCCUGUGCAUUCAGACCCUUUGUGGUGAUGGAUUUCACUAGCUGGAGGAGGUUGUUGGAAUCCUCAUUGCAAACAAUAUUUUCAAAAGUUACACUAUCACAGCCCACUUUGAGUCUUUUCCCUCGAACAGAUGGAUCUGCAUGGAGCCAUUCAGGACAAGGAGAGAGGUAUGAACUCCUCUUCCUCUUUUUGGGUGGAACUGCUAAGCCUCUCCAGUUUUCAACAGCUUCUUCAUCUGUUGGAUGGAUGUUUGUGACAGUGUCAGACUUCCCAGAGCAGGAAGCAUCCAUCUCUGGCCUUCCAUCAAUCCUGCAGGUUGUGAAAAAACACGCAUGUUGCCUUCAAUGAAGGACAGAUGUCGAGCAAUGAAUCGAUCCACUCGAAUAGGCAAGUGUUCAUGCUUGAAAAGGCCGCGUUUGA
Esox lucius (northern pike) is the source of this 1043-nucleotide long non-coding RNA. The record is from Ensembl. NCBI's taxonomy places the organism in Eukaryota, Metazoa, Chordata, Actinopteri, Esociformes, Esocidae.